CUUCUUCUAGAGCAAUUUCUGAAAAUAUGCGACUCUGUAAUAAAGGGCUGGGUUCCUGACUCAUGAGAAGCAGUUUAGUUUACAGAAGCAGCACUCCUGGGGCAGACUAAUCUGCUGUGUGUUAAACAAGCAUUUCUUGAUGGGCUGCUCCCACGUAGCCAGGGCCUGUGUCCACUCCUUCACUUCCUCCCCAAUUCCUCAGCAGUGAGGCACCUACCCAGGCUUGAUCAGCCCCAGAUGUGAGUGGGCUGGAUGGCUGAGCUGGGGCGUGAGAAUCCGUGCCGGAAAACAUCGUAUGUCAUGACUAAUACUGCCAUAUGAGCUGCCAGUGCUUCUGGGAUGCAUCAGGAAGAUCUCUGUGUUGCAGGAAGUUUCGGGAGCACCUGGACACACAGGGGAAAAAAAAAACCCAGAAAAACAAAAGUGUAUCAUCUUCAAACGAAGCCAGAUCUGGAGCUGUAAGUAAACUUCUCAAGGCCACAUGAAGAAGCUGCGUCUCUUCACCACAGGGGGCUGGAACUUCAGAGCAGCUUUGAUAUCACAGGUAAACAUGUUACUAAACGGCAGUUAUAUGGGGAGGAGAAAGAGCCCAAGAUAACUGUGAAGUGUUAUUAUUCGAGAUUUGUUUGAGGUGAUUUUCUUCCUUGGUGGGUAAUUAUCAGAUUAAAUGGUUUAAGAAUGAAAAUUAGAAAAAUUCUUCAAGAGNNNNNNNNNNNNNNNNNNNNNNNNNNNNNNNNNNNNNNNNNNNNNNNNNNNNNNNNNUUAAUUGUAUUAUAAAGCAGACUGGAGAAAUGCAAGAAUGUGACAGACAAGCACUUCCAGCCACCUAUGACUAUAAAAAUCCCAGUUUGCAGCAUGAGUGCUCUCUAACCACAUCCAGAGGGCUGUAUUUGUGAAAGAGAUCAAAGACAGCACAAAACUGUUGUCCUUACCACCUCAAUUUUAGAUGAUCUCUGAAUCCUCCCAUGUGCUGCUGUGCAAAAUUGAGAAUCUUUCCCUUGUUCUCUGGCAGCGCUGUUAGAACGUGAGAUAGGGUCAGAGAGCAAUUUCUGGUGUUACCGAGGUGUUUAAAAUUAAGCCUGUGCUUUGAUUAACCAUACCCACGACACCCUAUUUCAGACGUCAUGAUCACGGGGACAGCCCCCUUGCUGCAGUGGGAGAUGUCCUGCACCUCUGAGAUGGAUCUGUAAGGGCUGCUGCUUGGGAUGAGGUGAUGUUACCUAUGCACACAGAUGGUGGUCUGGUGACAAGCAACGGUUAGGCUUGCUCUGGAGGGACGCUUUGGUGAAGACCCUCUCUCAUGUCGGGCUGGAAGAUGUGCUGCUGCAGUCAGUCUGUCCUAGUAUGAAGAGUCAGAUGGACACUUGCGGGUUGCAUGUGACUGUGUGUGCCAUGUACAGGAGCUGCUGAGGCUGUCAUCUCAAUGUUACUACAGUUACAUUUUUCCUUGUGUCACACCUGUGUUUGAACCUGCCUUUCCUGUUC
RNAcentral lists this long non-coding RNA (1485 nucleotides) under Struthio camelus australis. RNAcentral describes it as "lncRNA (ENSSCUG00000014646.1)". Lineage: Eukaryota; Metazoa; Chordata; Aves; Struthioniformes; Struthionidae. The record is from RNAcentral.